This is a microRNA precursor of Oryza rufipogon (brownbeard rice), 162 nucleotides long. It matches the Rfam family "MIR812 microRNA precursor family". Lineage: Eukaryota; Viridiplantae; Streptophyta; Magnoliopsida; Poales; Poaceae. The record is from Rfam.
AAUAAGCGUAACCAUAAGUUUCCACGUACAACGUUGAUCGUCCGUCUUAUUUAAAUUUUUUUAUGAUUAUGCGUGACUUAUGUUUUUUAUUUUUUUUAAAAAAAAAAGUUAAAUAAGACGGAUAAUUAAAGUUGGACACGGAAACUCAUGACUACGCUUAUU